RNAcentral lists this unclassified non-coding RNA (286 nucleotides) under Glomus sp. RNAcentral's name for it is "partial internal transcribed spacer 2". The record is from RNAcentral. Lineage: Eukaryota; Fungi; Glomeromycota; Glomeromycetes; Glomerales; Glomeraceae.
GUGAAUCAUCAAAUCUUUGAACGCAAAUUGCACUCUCCUCCCCUUUUAUGCCUGUUUGAGGGUCAGCCUAUAAAAAAUCGACAUCGUUGCUGUUUCGCGGUUGCGGUCGUCGGAAAUUGGGUCAUCUUAAAUCUUUUGUUUUUAAGCGACUUAAAAUUUUCUUUUUGGUUCCAUGAACGUUUCUAAGAUUUAUUUCUUUACACGUUUAAGGUAUAGAUUGUUAUUAGACGUGACCAUCAUCUCGGAGCGCGCCCAUAAUCUGUCAUUAACUGACCUCAGACAGGUA